CAGUCGCCACGGUAAUACGUAGGGUGCAAGCGUUAAUCGGAAUUACUGGGCGUAAAGCGUGCGCAGGCGGUUUUGUAAGACAGAGGUGAAAUCCCCGGGCUCAACCUGGGAACUGCCUUUGUGACUGCAAGGCUAGAGUACGGCAGAGGGGGAUGGAAUUCCGCGUGUAGCAGUGAAAUGCGUAGAUAUGCGGAGGAACACCGAUGGCGAAGGCAAUCCCCUGGGCCUGUACUGACGCUCAUGCACGAAAGCGUGGGGAGCAAACAGGAUUAGAUACCCCAGUAGUCCCUGUCUCUUAUAU
Molecule: ribosomal RNA, 301 nt
Filed under: uncultured bacterium
Lineage: Bacteria
Description: partial 16S ribosomal RNA
Rfam family: Bacterial small subunit ribosomal RNA
Source: RNAcentral